GAUCGUGUUUUUGAGUUUCGCUUAAUUCGCUGACAUAAGGGCCACUCGGGGUGAGGGCGGGCAUCAAAGCAAUAAGGUUCGAAGAAUUAUUUCUCAAUACACCGCUAUUUAAAUAUUAUUUAAUAGUUGGGCACAGUGGGCUGCUUUAAAGCGCAACAUUGCAUUACUAAUAUGCUUACCGAAUGAGUAUAUUAGGAGAGGAAUUGGAACCAGUCUUUUUUUAUUUUUUAUUUAUUUAUUUUUUUUAUAUAUCCAUCGUAUUGCACUCUAUUUAGACGAAAAUGCAAUGUACGAUUAAAGAAACUAUGACAAAGUUGCGAAAGCACAUGCUACAAAUCUGCCUGGAACCAGCCAUAACCGGGAGCAGAUGCAAUGAACGACGCGCAACGCCAUUCGCGUGAGCAUGCAAUUGUAGAGACGGCGAGGCCAAUACCUAGGCUAUGUGGAGCAUGUCCGUAGCAGGAGGUAUAAUUUUUUCCUCAACAUAAGCGCCGAUUUACGAAGCAACGUGCAGCGCUUGCAUGCAGGAGGAGCAGCCGAAUGAGUUGAGGGAGGCUGUUUAAGUCGACCGCCCUGUUAGUGAAUGUACUGUGAUAGGCGAACAUCACUCAGCUGAGCCAUCAGCUGAUUCAGCCGGAGCGCUUGACUCUCGUGGCCUGCCAGAACUACGCCAUGCUCCAUUUGUGGCAGCAGUAAUAGUAAAACAAACAAAGGGAUGGUCGGUAGAAAAUAAAGCAAAAAAGUGGAGUGGAUAAAUGAGUAAAUAAGUAAAUAAAUAGAGGCAAUGUUGUGUGUUUAUGUGAGUGUACUUGUAUGUCUGCCUCUAAAGAGUGUAUAUGUGUUUGCAAGUGUGUGUGUGUAUGUGAAUGUACAUGAAUGUUAUUUGUUUGUGUUUGUUGUGGCACUAGCUCACCAGCAACUUAAGAGAUUUGAGAAGUUUUUAAUACUUUUCAUUGAAUUGUUCAGACUGUUUUUUCUUUGUAGGGCUGAGUUUUGUUCCAGUGUUACCUGUUCUGUUAAAAUAUUUAAACACUGUGAGAUGGUGAGUUGUUUUCUGUUUUUCCAAUUUAGUAAAAUAGUUUUCUUGGCGAUAGUUAGGGCUACCAGUAGAGGUGUUGUGAUUUAUUUUUGUGAUGUGUCAAGUAUACCCAAGUCUCCUGACGGGGAUAGGGGGUUGCUGCACCCAAAGAACAGCGAUAGUUUAGUAGUUAUUUCUUUCCAGAAUUGUUGUACUGGUGGGCAGAGCCAGAGUGCAUGGAAGUAGUGGUCAGUCGUGUUAAGGGUACAGUGAGUGCAUAUGUCUGAUCCGGUAAGUCCCAUUAUGUGCAUCUUGUGUUGUGUAAUAUGUAUUCUGUGAAUGACUUCGUAUUGAAUUAGUCUUGUUUUAGUGUUCAUGGACAUGAUGAAGGUGUUUUUGCAUAUUUUCAAUUCAAUUCAAUUCAAUUUUAUUUGUAUAGCGCUUUUAAAAAGGAGCUUUGUCACAAAGCAGCUUUACAGAGAACCGGCCCCCAAAGAGUAAGCCCAGGGCAACAGUGACAAGGAAAAACUCCCUGACUGUUAGCAGGAAGAAACCUUGAGCAGAACCGGACUCAGAGGGGGAACUCAUCUGCCGAGGGCAGGCACCAGUUUGUUAUGGAAAGUCAAUAGUGGCAGGAGGCGGGGGUGCCCAGCUGGUCUAGCUGGUCUAGGGCUGGAGCUCCGGGCCGGGGGGGGUGCUCAGCAAACUUGGGCUACAGCUCCGGACAGGUGCCCAGAGCCGAGGAAAAGGAGAAAAAAAAAUUGUUAGGGGGUUCAAAAGGUAGAUUAGCAAGCAGUUCCACAGGAGGGGAGCACGAUAGGGGAGGCCUGCACCCUGCGAACGGUGCGUUCGUAAGGGAAUAUAAGGAAGAAAUCAUUUAAGUACAAAGGGGUAAGCCCAUGUAAGGAUUUAAAGGUAAGAAGUGGUAUCUUAUAGUCUUCGCUGGAGCACUUUCAGAGAUGAAUUUGCGCAUCCAGACAAAAGAGCAUUGCAGUAAUCUAAUCCUGAAGUAUCAAAAGCAUGAACUAGCUUUUCUGCAUCAUGUAAGGGCAGUAUUUUCUGACUUUUUCUCAAGUGAUAAAAAGCAUAGAGAUGUUUUUAACAUCUCUAUGGAUCAAAGGUAAUACCAAGAUCUUUGAUUACAGCACUUGAAGUAAUGGAGAUUCCAUCAAUGUUAAGCAUAUAGUCAGAUAUUUUGCAUCUCAGGGACUUGGGCCCCACUACCAUUAUUUUGGUCUUAUCGGAGUGUAGCAAGAGAAAAUUUUGGGUCAUCCAUUCCUUUAUGUCUAUAAAACAGGCUUUGAUCUUUGACAGCUGGACAACUUCGUCAGGUUUAACUGAUAGAUACAACUGGGUGUCAUAUUUACAUAGCAGUCGAAAUUAAUGCCAUGUUUGCGAAUAACUUGUCCCAGGGUCCCACAGGUCAUUCACAUCCAAGUUUGGCUUCUUGAGAAAGGGUUUGAGGACUGCAAGUUUAAGAGUCUGUGGUAUGUGUCCAGAUGCUAAAGACACAUUGACAAUAUGUAACAUUGGUGUUCCAAUCAUUGGUAGUAGCUCCUUGAAAAGAUUUGUAGGGAUAGGGUCUAGAAGAUAAGCAGAAGAUUUUGAGGAAUUAACUAUGGCAUUAAACUCCAUGAGAUCUAUUGGAGCAAAAGAGUUCAGAUAGGCUGCUCGUCUUUCUGAAGAUUCUUGUGAAGAUUCUGCAUCCAUGCGUUGAGCGGAUGGAAGGGCAGACCCUAUAUGAGGGGUGGUAGGAGAACUUUGAAUCUUGUCUCUGAUUUUUAUUAUUUUGUCACCAAAGAAAUUCAUAAAGUCAUUGCUACUAAAUGAUAUUGAGACACAUGGAUCAACUUGAUUCUUGGUCAGUCUGGCAACAGUGUUAUACAGGUGCCUAGGAUUGUUUCUAUGUUCAUCUAUUAAAGUAGAGAAGUAUGAGGAACGUGCUGUGGAGAGGGCAUGUUUGUAAGUUAGUAGACUCUCUUUCCAGUCCUGGAGGAAUACUUGCAAUUUAGUAGAACACCAUUUGCGCUCAAGUUGGCGUGAAGCUUGUUUGAGAGCACGAAUAUGGUCAUUGUACCAGGGUGCUAAUUUCUUAUAGCGGACUUUCCUCUUCUUAAGAGGUGCGAUAGUAUCCAGAGUUCUGGAAAAUACAUAGUUUAUGUUGUCUGUCAGCUGAUCAAUUGAGCUAAUGCUUGCAUUUUUGUAUGCGCAUGGGCAGGAGCCAAGAAAAUCCCCACAGUGCACAAAUGAGCCUGGGAGCUCAUUAAUAAAAGCAUUUGCAGUCCUGGAGGAAAGCUUACGGCUAAGGUAGAAUGAAGGAUCUGGUGAAAGACUUGUGAAGGUUGGAAAGUAAUUAAAUAAUGGUCGACAGCACAGGGUUAUUAGGCAUAACUGCUAUAUUUGCUAUUUCUGUAUCAUAAGUUAAGACCAGAUAAAGAGUAUGGUUAUGAGAAUGUGUGGCCUGAUUUAUAUGUUGAUCGAAGCCAAUAGAUUCAAUGA
Long non-coding RNA from Anguilla rostrata (American eel), 3517 nucleotides. RefSeq lists it as uncharacterized. The transcript is spliced from 2 exons. The record is from RefSeq and is a predicted model, not a curated record. Lineage: Eukaryota; Metazoa; Chordata; Actinopteri; Anguilliformes; Anguillidae.